RNAcentral lists this long non-coding RNA (307 nucleotides) under Equus caballus (horse). RNAcentral's name for it is "lncRNA (ENSECAG00000044819.1)". Lineage: Eukaryota; Metazoa; Chordata; Mammalia; Perissodactyla; Equidae. The record is from RNAcentral.
CAGCAGAAUACGGACCACCCCUUCAGGAGGGAUUGAAAGAAACAGAAACCACCAAACUGUCUUCCAAAGUGGCUGUACCAUUUUGCCUUCCCACCAGCAAUGAACGAGAGUUCCUGUGGCUCCACAUCCUCAUCAGCAUUUAGAGUUGUCAGUCUUCCAGAUCUUGGCCAUUCUAAUAGGCCUCAUCUGAUGUCUCACCUGAAAGAAGUGUGGUCACAGAAAUGACAGAAGUUUAUCAUUUGCCAAACCUUGGACUGGAGCGGGCGUUUAACAACAUAUUUAUGCCAACAGCUUCUUAACACCCUUG